GACGAACGCUGGCGGCGUGCUUAACACAUGCAAGUCGAACGGAAAGGCCCUGCUUUUGUGGGGUGCUCGAGUGGCGAACGGGUGAGUAACACGUGAGUAACCUGCCCUUGACUUUGGGAUAACUUCAGGAAACUGGGGCUAAUACCGGAUAGGAGCUCCUGCUGCAUGGUGGGGGUUGGAAAGUUUCGGCGGUUGGGGAUGGACUCGCGGCUUAUCAGCUUGUUGGUGGGGUAGUGGCUUACCAAGGCUUUGACGGGUAGCCGGCCUGAGAGGGUGACCGGCAACAUUGGGACUGAGAUACGGCCCAGACUCCUACGGGAGGCAGCAGUGGGGAAUAUUGCACAAUGGGCGGAAGCCUGAUGCAGCAACGCCGCGUGCGGGAUGACGGCCUUCGGGUUGUAAACCGCUUUCGCCUGUGACGAAGCGUGAAUGACGGUAAUGGGUAAAGAAGCACCGGCUAACUACGUG
This 468-nucleotide ribosomal RNA is filed under the name uncultured bacterium. RNAcentral describes it as "partial 16S ribosomal RNA". It matches the Rfam family "Bacterial small subunit ribosomal RNA", at positions 28 to 507 of the family's 1533-position model. The record is from RNAcentral.